RNAcentral lists this microRNA (23 nucleotides) under Caenorhabditis briggsae. RNAcentral's name for it is "Cbr-Mir-230_5p (mature (co-guide))". The record is from RNAcentral. Lineage: Eukaryota; Metazoa; Nematoda; Chromadorea; Rhabditida; Rhabditidae.
ACUUGGUCGACAAUUUAAUAGUA